Dreissena polymorpha is the source of this 543-nucleotide long non-coding RNA. RefSeq lists it as uncharacterized. The transcript has 3 exons. The record is from RefSeq and is a predicted model, not a curated record. Lineage: Eukaryota; Metazoa; Mollusca; Bivalvia; Myida; Dreissenidae.
UAAUCAAAGUUUGUUUCGAUACAUUAAAACAAACACAAUUGGCAUUUCAAGUGAUGUAAAAUACAUGACUACUUUUUAGUAGUGCAUACGAAUAUUCGCUGACACAGAUCUGUCAGGGAGUUCGUCUGAAGGACACUUUAGCCAAAAUGAAGGUCUCUCAGCAACUUGGCAGAGAGCUUGGCCAUCUUGGAUAUUCCAAAAGGAUCAUCAAAUUUGGAACCUCACCAUACGAACAAGUCCAUUUUCCCAAUGUUAUGUACAGUGUUCCCAAUGUUAUGAAGAGAAUGGCUAGACAGUUCUUGAUAGUCGUUCCUCCAUUGAGUCUUGGGUGGUAUUCCUACAUAUGGAUGAAGCACGCAAACCACGAGUCCAAACGGAAGAAACCAACAGACUACGUCAAUGACAGUUAAAGAACAUUCAGUGUGAUAUUAAUAUGACAAGUUACCAGUUGAAAAGUGUUUCAAGACAUUGAGUAUCUUUUACAGACAUGAGAAUUAACACCUGACACUGUAGCCAUGAUUUGUGAAUAAAAUACUAAAAGUU